Molecule: non-coding RNA, 1297 nt
Organism: Drosophila virilis
Lineage: Eukaryota; Metazoa; Arthropoda; Insecta; Diptera; Drosophilidae
Source: RefSeq, a predicted model, not a curated record
GCUCAAAGGAUCAUUUAAUAGCAGGAUGUCCAAAUAAAAAAGUACUUACUCGCCCUGAGUUGAGAUCUUGGAACCGAGCAGCGUGGCAACCUCCUUGCGUGUCAUAUCGGCGAGUGUGUUAAUGUUGAGGCGAUAGCUGCUCACACGGCUGUUGGAUAGAUCCACCAAAGACUUCUUCGCCGCGAAGAUGCUCUCACGGAACUCACGCUCCCUUUCGUCCGGAUACACUUUGCCCGUCUGCCGCAGAAAGUCAUCAAAGUCGCGCACAUUGCAGAGCCUUGGGAAUGACUGCAGCUUCUGCAAUGACACAGCAUUUAACCAGGCCAACAGCAGCAGCAGCUGCAACAUCUCUGAUUUGCACAUCCACAUCUGAACAGCGAAAUGUCGUGUCGAGUGGAAGAUGAUGUAAGAGUGAAAAUGGUUAAAUAACACAGUCACAGCAGGUGUACCAAUCAUCACAGUCUCAUAUAUGUCUUGGAUUGCCCUAGCGAUGCGGUACUUUGCAUAAAGUCAUCAAGUUUACAACCCUCGAAAUUUCCAUAGAAAAUAUAUAUUCUGAAUGCAGAGUUGAUUGUUUUCCAGGCAUAAUAUUUCUUCAGUUUUUAUGACAGGCAAUCAAAGAGAUAAACAUUUUAACACUUGCUAUCUGAUUGUAUUUGAUAAUUUGUUACUAAAAGAUAAGUUUUUUUUUGAAUGUAUUUUGGUGCUAUGCCGAUAUAUAUGCCUCCCAAUGCUCAUACUUUAUACGAAUACUUGGCAUUCCUUAUUGAUUUAUUGUAAAGGAAUUUUCUUAGAGGGUAAUAGACAGUUCGGCUUGACCAUGAGUGUAUUUCUCUUAUGGCCGUUCGGGCUAUUUGAUUUUAUCAUCGUGUCUCUUUUGAUUAAAUUAGUUUUUAAUGAUUGCCAUUAAAUUUAAACUGCGACAACCAAUUGAUGUAUUUCGAUUUAUAUAUUUGAAAAUUAUAAUAUGCAUAUCAUUUGCAUAUGAGCCCGCAUGUGAUACGUUUAUUUAUGCAUUCGCUUCUUUCUUUUUGUGAAAUUUGUGCCCUUGGCAAGUAAAUCAUUUCUUGUACGAAUUUCACUUCAAUAAUAAUAUUCCCAAUAAUCGGACCUAUGCACAUUUGCGGCUUAAUCGGAUUUUGAUGCGGGUGAAAGGCGCUUAGUCAGAGCUGGGAACGGGGGGUCUUUCGGAAAUGCCGACACGCUUGUUAUUUUCAUAACUAUUAUUAACGCAGAUUGCACACACACACACACUUGGUCAAUAAAUAAAUAGAUGCACAUUAAUCACCUUUUGUAA